Paramuricea clavata is the source of this 74-nucleotide non-coding RNA. Lineage: Eukaryota; Metazoa; Cnidaria; Anthozoa; Malacalcyonacea; Plexauridae. The record is from the annotation of a GenBank genome assembly.
GACUCUGUAGCUCAGUUGGUUAGAGCGCUGCACCGGAAUUGCAGGGCCGCAGGUUCGAUUCCUGCCCGUAUAUA